AGGAUCUUGAGGGCUGAGACACAGAAGGGAGUAAAAGGAGGAGCUGUUUCUUAGGGCCAUUCAAGACACCUGUGGAGAUUUCUGUCACAGACAGAAAUUCUAAUAUCUAGGGUUCCUGUUUAAACAUCGCUGGUUCCUGUCAAAAAACCUAAUUUCUUCAAAGACUUUCAUAUCCAUGAACUAUUGAGAUACUUGACUCAAAUUGGUCCAGCAUGGAUAUUUCAAGAUGCUUUCUCAGUGACUUUGGCUGAGAUCUGAGAACAUUGGGUGAUUCAAGUGGAAAAGUCGAUGCACAGAGACAGUCUCACUCUCUCGGCGUUGGAAGCCUGGGUCCAGUGGCAUGAAAAAUCGUUACACCUGGAGACUUCCUCAGCUGCAUUGGAUGGCCGUGUUGUCUUUUGUGCUCCAACAUGCCCUAAGCACUCCACAGUGCUUUGCUGCUUCGCCCUGUCAGCCAUUGAACCUUCUUAUUGGUUUCUUCUGUCUGUUUGGCCGAAGCAGUCUUCACAUGCUGGAGAAUGGAAGCUAGGAGAAAUCCUAAUGGAGGAGACAUCCAAGCAACUAUGUACAAACAAAUCAUACAUAUCCAUUGGAGAUAAUCAGAAGGAGGAGGCCCUGGCUUUAAGGCCAUCAGGACAACCUUCCUUUUGA
RNAcentral lists this long non-coding RNA (651 nucleotides) under Monodelphis domestica (gray short-tailed opossum). RNAcentral describes it as "lncRNA (ENSMODG00000031619.2)". The record is from RNAcentral. Lineage: Eukaryota; Metazoa; Chordata; Mammalia; Didelphimorphia; Didelphidae.